This is a long non-coding RNA of Perognathus longimembris pacificus (Pacific pocket mouse), 365 nucleotides long. RefSeq lists it as uncharacterized. The transcript is spliced from 2 exons. NCBI's taxonomy places the organism in Eukaryota, Metazoa, Chordata, Mammalia, Rodentia, Heteromyidae. The record is from RefSeq and is a predicted model, not a curated record.
UGCAAGUGUGAGCCACUGACACCCAGCUCAUGGGUUUUGUUUUGUGCACACACACGUGUAUGUCUACAUGUGGGCAUGCACACCCAUGAGCUUGCUGAGGAUUAAAACCAGGGCUUCAUGCAUGUUAAACAUAGGCUCUGUCACACAGCUACAACAGUAGCCAACAAUUCAUUAGGAUUUCUGUUUGCUUUUUUUUUUUUUUGGUAGUUUAGUGGAAGUAAGAGUCUCACAUGUUUUCCUGCCCGGGCUGGCUUUGAAUACUUAUCCUCUGACUUCAGCCAACUUAUUAGCUAGGAUUACAGACAUGAUGUCUUCUAACACAAUUAAACACUUUAAGGUUUUGAAACAACAUAGAAAUGAAUCUU